AGUUUUAUCAUACAUCCAGAAAAUACGUCAUGUAACAUGCACAUUUGCUUGUGUGUGUUCAUACACCAGCUGGCCUUGGAUGGAUAUUAUGCCAUUAGAUGUUGGCUGUGCUCCAGUGUGUUGUACUGCUAUAAGGGUCGGUUUUGUUCCAGUUUUGCAUUUCUCAUCGAACUGCCAUUGAUUUUUGCCAAGCCAUGCAUGCUUUUGCGUUUGUGCUCUCAGAACCUGCCCGAGCGGAUGAAGAUGGAUGAGGUGUAUGCGUUUGCGUGUGUGUAUGGAGCUGAAUGUAUAAUGUUUCAGGGGGGGCUUUUGCCGGCAACGUUUUCCGCUCGUACUCGUACUCCUCCAAUCCCAACCUCAGCCAUUCACAUCUGGUUGCUAGGCAACAGAUGCAGCUCCGUUGCUUUUCUGUGGGUUCGUUAGCAGAUUCUGAGCAAGCGUCUGGGAGGACAAAGCCUCUCUGUGGUCUGCCUGCUGAUGUUAGCAUCAGAGCAGUCGUUACAGCUCUCUGGAAGCCGCCGAAGAACUGCAUCCUGGUGAAGAUCAGGAGGAAAAUAUCUUUCCCAGAACCAGUUUCUCAGCUGAAGCCGACAUCAGCCAGGCACGGAUCAUCGCCAGCUCCUAAAAUGUCAUUCCUCUAAGUCUCCAGUGCCUCAGCUUUGGCUCGGUCAGUUCUGAUGGAACCAUAAACUUCAAACGGGCUCAGCGCCCGACUGGCAGAAUGCAUUUCUCUCUCUUUUUCCUCUGGCGGCCGGCCACUGGAAGUGAGCUAAUCGCUCCUUACACAGACCUCCCUGAGUCCUGGCCAAAGGAAUCUGAACAUUAUCCAAACCAAUGACCGAAAUGUUGAAAGCUGGCUUGCGGAUCCAGAGAUGGAAUUAUACAAGACAAACAUCCCCCUUUCUCUCCAGCCACCCUUUCUGUUAAGACUGUAAUGACCGCUGUGAAACUGCACACAGACUAACAUAUGUUUGUCAUUACCGCACAGCACACGGUGUACGCUUUUAUUUGCUGUCAUUUGUGUUGAAAAUGCAAUGUCUGAUCCAGUAAGCUGUCAGGGAUAUUUUUGCUGUAAUGGAUUGUCAGUAAGUCUCCCAGAAAGCCAUAUGUUUUAGUAUAUAUAUCAUAAAAUCGCUGAGACUCUGAAUUCAGGAAACAAACAGUGUACUUCCAGACUCUCCUAUGGAGCUCAACGGGCAGCCGUCUCCUCCAGCUGCUCGGUAUCACGGCCUGGCGUUUCCUCCACAGCCUUCCCAGUGCACCCCUCUGACCGAGCACCAUCCGGCAGAGAGAAACCCUGGAGAACAGGCUAGCAGAUUGGUUGGAGCAACAGCUCAUGGCCAGAAUGAUCACUGGAAUAUUCCCUCAGCCCGUCCAGACUGAUCCAGCAGCCAGCCAAUCAGAGACAGAGAAUAGUGUGACAUCAGGCAUUGCUGAGAAUGGUUUAUUUCUAUGUUUAUAAUUGUGACUUUAGGCCUCACAAUGAGACUUUGUCUUAUUUUAAACUCUAUGAAUUUGGCGUUAAACAUAUUUGAAAGCUCCCAGUUUAGUAGCUAUGAAGUUUGUCUGUCUGCGGUUUAACCAUCAUACAUCAUCACCAAUUUACAAGUGUGUCUGGUCAAUGUUCAAAAUCAAAUAAUGCAUGACAUAAACCAGCAAGAAUGGUCGAGCUGCACCAGGUUCCAAUCUAUAAGCUCAUCAUUUUGAUUCAUAGUGUUUAUGAAUGAGAGCAGUGCAUUUGUCAAGAGUGUCAGCACGCAUCAAGAUUGUAUUUCCUCAUUAAAACACGAUUGCUUGUGCUCAUCCUCUCUACUCCUCCUCCGCUCGAUCCUUCCAUCUCCUUCGCGUCACUUCUGCUCAGUCGGCGAGGAGGUCCUGCCUCAUUAAUUCUCGCUUUCAUUUAAUAGGAAGAUCAAUGAUGUAUCAAAUUUGCAGAGGAGGCUCGCAGCAAACUGUUGUCAGCAUAUUCCCAGACUGACUGGACUCUUCCUCCUGUAGAGGAACUGUAUAUGUGUUUAAACGCAAACAAAAGGAAACGUGGCCCCUGCCAAGAAUGUCAGUUCUGUAUAUUAGUUUUUUAAUACCACCGGCCCAAAAUGCUUACGGGUGCGAGAAUUCAAGAGUAGGCUGGAUGAGAGGUAAAGUGGAUAUCAAAUUGGUUAUUUAAAAUUACUUUGCUGGCAAACUCAACUUGCCAGAAGAGCAUCAUGGGAAAACUUCUGAAUGUUGUGGGAAUGCCAGAUGUGCAGGUAUUAAGUGCAUGCGUUGUUAUUUUUUGGAUGCACAUUAAAGGUUGAGCUCUUUAAAUGGAUGUGAAUUUUGAUAUUAAACAAUAGCAAUGACCUUGUUGAAAGUGGUGAUAGGUCAGACCUGUGGCCUAGCGGUUUUAGAUCCAGGUUUGAAUCCAGGGAUGUGUCCUUUUGCUCAAAACACAUUGCAUUUCUUUGUCAGUAAAACUGUGGUAAAAAUAAUUAUUUAGUAAGCAUUUAUCAGGGCCAUAAAGUUAUGUAAUAAAAAAAAAUCAUGCUAGCUCAAUAAUCAUUCAUUAGCCCUGUCAGAGGACAAGAAGUGAAAAAAAAAAACCUUUAGCUGUACGCUUUUAUUUACUUUUUACUGUAAUCUUGUUAACAAAAGAUGGCAAACCAUGUCCCUCAUACACCAGCUGAUUCUCUCUCUGUGUGUUUGUGUGGGAGUGGAGGCCGCAGGGUUUAGUGGGCUUCAGGUGUGUGUGGACACAGGGGUACCAGUGGACUCUGAGCUCAUAAGACAGUGUGUAAAUGAAGUGCUGGCUGAAACCGCUGCAGUAAUGCUGGGACAGAGAGAGAUGCAGAUAGUGCCCGAUGCCCCUGUCUAAACACAGCUGGUGUCUACAGUACCAACACCAGCAUCCACUCCUGAGCCAGACUCGACAGAGCUGCUGUCAGAACCCCUGAUCUUUUCAAGCGUCUCUCUUCAGCUUUUUCUUCCAAUGAAAACCAUCAGGGAUCUGCUUUAUCAAGUCUGACAGUCCAGAUAGGUUUCCUGUGGGCACACCGGCUACCAGACCAAUCCCACCCACACCACGAUGGCCACACCCUCACCUCCUCCAGCCAAUCAGAGCCCAGAUUCAGCCAGCCUGCAGAACCACCCGUGGGGAGGACCAGAGCUCCCCCUGGAGGAGGAAGAACCGCACAGCGAGAGGCAGAAACAGCCUUCAGCAUCAGUUGUAACGUCAGUAGCCCAAGAGAGUGAUGAGGAAGAAUCAGUCAUCCAUUCAUUUCCACCUCUCCCCUCCAAACCCAAGACUUCCUCACCUCCUCUUCCUCCUGUGAGCCAGGAACCUCCUCCUUCUGCCCCCCUCGAAUCCUUCUCUUCCUUGCACUACACAGAAGAGAGUUACUCUAGUUCUAUAGUGAGACAGUCACGGAGACACAGAUGCCAGCCAGACACACAUCUCAGGGAGAGCUGCGGCUCACUCAAAGCCAGAUGGAGGCAGUCAGAAGUACACGAUCGGUCCAACACACACUCACACAGCCAGACUGAUCCAAAACCACACUGGCUGCAGAAGCAGCUGCCCUCUAAGGACAAAAUGGAUGAGGAAGGAGUCCUUCUGUCUAAUGUGAUGACCAGCCUGAACAGUUCCCUGCAUGGAGUCCAAGAUAUGAGUUCCCAGAUGUCACAGGCGGUUCACAGACCUGCACCAAUCCUGGUGAGGCAGUACCAAGAAAAAGAGGAACCAGGACCCUGCAUAUUUGAAGUUCCUUGUCAUGCCCCAGUUACAACAGUCCUCUUCCACUGAAGCCAACUGGCCAAGUGCAGCCCAGAAAUGCAUGAACAGUUCCGGCUGGAAACGCUCACUCUUUCUUUGCUUUGGGUGAUGUUGCAGCAGGCGUAUCGUGCAGCCCGUCUCAUCCUGUCAAGUGUGAGAUCAGGUCUAGAGAUAAAGUUCCCCUCACAGAUGGAUGAGUGGAGAUGAGAGGGAUAGACUUUUGAAAACGAACCGGGUUUGAGUGCGGCUGUGCGCUCCAAUAGUCACCACCUCUUCACCCCUGACUCCUCAUCUGCCAGACGGAGUGAAGAGGGGGGCUCAUCACUGGAGCAGGGCCGCUUUGAUCAGCCGAGCCAGGCAGAGGCACUAAGCCACACGGCAGAAGGCCCUGUCUCUGCUUUCACAGGUGGAAGAGCAGGCUUUCAUGGGAGCGCUCUUGUUACAGUGCGCUGAGGUUUUGUGGGGUACAGCCUGGGAUUGUGUUUGAUGUUGGGCUGAGUGGAAGCUACAGUUGUCCUGUCUGAGCAGAUGGACAAAUUUGUGUCGUCCUGUAUGAGGCACGCCACUUUACAGGAAACUACAGGCUUCUAAGUAAUCCUGCUGUUGGAGGAUGCAAAGAUGAAUAGUAUUUUGGAUGAGAUUUAGGUGGAGAAAAACAGUUUGUGGUGGACACUUCUGGCUCUGAAGUCUAAUUGGAGUUUGCUCUGAAAAUAUAUGAUGUACAUAAACCUGUGACAUCAUCAUGAUAAAAGUGUAUUUUUCUAGAUACUAUUACGAUUUACGA
Molecule: RNA transcript, 4532 nt
Organism: Carassius gibelio (silver crucian carp)
Lineage: Eukaryota; Metazoa; Chordata; Actinopteri; Cypriniformes; Cyprinidae
Gene name: protein TALPID3-like
Exons: 10
Source: RefSeq, a predicted model, not a curated record